Molecule: ribosomal RNA, 474 nt
Filed under: uncultured bacterium
Lineage: Bacteria
Description: partial 16S ribosomal RNA
Rfam family: Bacterial small subunit ribosomal RNA
Source: RNAcentral
GACGAACGCUGGCGGCGUGCUUAACACAUGCAAGUCGAGCGGUAAGGCUCCUUCGGGAGUACCCGAGCGGCGAACGGGUGAGUAACACGUGAGUAAUCUGCCCUUCACUUCGGGAUAACCACCGGAAACGGUGGCUAAUAACGAAUACGACCAGUCUUCGCAUGAGGUGCUGGUGGAAAGUCUUUUCGGUGAAGGGUGUGCUCGCGGCCUAUCAGCUUGUUGGUGGGGUAAUGGCCUACCAAGGCUUCGACGGGUAGCCGGCCUGAGAGGGUGACCGGCGUCACUGGGCCUGCGACACGGCCCAGACUCCUGCGGGAGGCAGCAGUGGGAAAUAUUGGACAAUGGGCCAAAUCCUGAUCCAGCAACGCCGCGUGAGGGAUGACGGCCUUCGGGUUGUAAACCUCUUUCAGUACCGACGAAGCGCCCUGUCGGGUGGUGACGGUAGCUACAGAAGAAGGACCGGCCAACUACGUG